Molecule: long non-coding RNA, 1112 nt
Filed under: Populus tremula
Lineage: Eukaryota; Viridiplantae; Streptophyta; Magnoliopsida; Malpighiales; Salicaceae
Description: long non-coding RNA (PTRE_LNC001794)
Source: RNAcentral
GCCAAAGACUCUGCUGCAGUUCUUCUCUUGGAACUAUUAAAUAAACGGUACUCAUGAUAUCAAUAAUGGAGGCAUCAUUUGCGGAGUUCAAGUAUCUACCUUUCCUUGGAUAAUCCCGCGCAAAAAUUGUGCUGUUCUUGGAACUUUACCUUCUACCGUAUAUUUUCAACAUCAAUAUAGCUGUUUCUUUCGACGCAGUCGAGUAGAAGUGCUCAAACUUGCGAGACCAAUAACACAGUUGGCACUCUGUGUUUUUGGCCUGCCAAUAAUAGUGAGUUGGUGUCAAGUGUGUAUAACGAUUGAUUGCAGUUUAUACUCAUUUGCUUUUGGAACAGCUCCAUCAAGUUCAUUGUCCCUGAAGACUGCUAUAAAUGCUUGAGCAGUGGCUGUUUUUGAAUGGAUUGGUUGCUGAAAUGGCAAUUUAAAAACAUGUCCUCCCACCAUCCAUAAAGAAACCUGAAAGUUCAAUAAUGGAGGCAUCAUUUGCGGAGUUCAAGUAUCUACCUUUCCUUGGAUAAUCCCGCGCAAAAAUUGUGCUGUUCUUGGAACUUUACCUUCUACCGUAUAUUUUCAACAUCAAUAUAGCUGUUUCUUUUCGACGCAGUCGAGUAGAAGUGCUCAAACUUGCGAGACCAAUAACACAGUUGGCACUCUGUGUUUUUGGCCUGCCAAUAAUAGUGAGUUGGUGUCAAGUGUGUAUAACGAUUGAUUGCAGUUUAUACUCAUUUGCUUUUGGAACAGCUCCAUCAAGUUCAUUGUCCCUGAAGACUGCCAUAAAUGCUUGAGCAAUGGCUGUUUUUUGAAUGGAUUGGUUGCUGAAAUGGCAAUUUAAAAACAUGUCCUCCCACCAUCCAUAAAGAAACCUGAAAGUUCAAUAAUGGAGGCAUCAUUUGCGGAGUUCAAGUAUCUACCUUUCCUUGGAUAAUCCCGCGCAAAAAUUGUGCUGUUCUUGGAACUUUACCUUCUACCGUAUAUUUUCAACAUCAAUAUAGCUGUUUCUUUCGACGCAGUCGAGUAGAAGUGCUCAAACUUGCGAGACCAAUAACACAGUUGGCACUCUGUGUUUUUGGCCUGCCAAUAAUAGUGAGUUGGUGUCAAGUGUGUAUAACGAU